GCUGCCUUAGCUCAGCCGGUAGAGCAACCGCCUUGUAAGCGGUAGGUCGUCAGUUCGAUUCUGACAGGCAGCU
This 73-nucleotide transfer RNA is filed under the name Spirochaetota bacterium. RNAcentral describes it as "Spirochaetes bacterium (activated sludge metagenome) tRNA-Thr". It matches the Rfam family "tRNA". Rfam says of the family: Transfer RNA (tRNA) molecules are approximately 80 nucleotides in length. Their secondary structure includes four short double-helical elements and three loops (D, anti-codon, and T loops). Lineage: Bacteria; Pseudomonadati; Spirochaetota. The record is from RNAcentral.